RNAcentral lists this long non-coding RNA (1130 nucleotides) under Capra hircus (goat). Its description in RNAcentral is "lncRNA (ENSCHIG00010011421.1)". Lineage: Eukaryota; Metazoa; Chordata; Mammalia; Artiodactyla; Bovidae. The record is from RNAcentral.
UGUCCUUACUCUAAUACUAUAAUCUGAAAGUUACCACUCUCAGCAUCAUGCUCCAAAAUACUGACUUUUGCUAAAUUCCUAAAUAAAGAGGAUUCUAUCUACCGAAUUAAAUAUGUCCUCAGUGUUUUCCAUGCAUCAGGUUUUAAGCACUGGCAUAUGUCUUAAGGUAAGAAUUGUCUAUGUCUGCCUUCUCACUUCAUUAAAAUACCUUCCCUCUUAAGGGAAGUUUUUGAGCAACAUUCUCUGUUACCAACCAAAUUAAAAUCUCUCUGGAAGCCAUCCUCUGGCAAGUACAGUCUUCCUUCUACAAAAUACUUUUCCUCGUGGUAGAAUCAUAAGCAUUAGUCUCUGAGGAUAUGUACACCAACCCCUUCAUCUGACUGAUGAGGAAAAAUCCUUCCUGCUUUGUCCUUUUUUAAUGACAGCAUGCAGAUUUCAACGCAUCUCUCCCUCUCUCAUUUAUUCUCCAUUAUCAUUUGUCUUUCAACCAAGGUCAAAGAUCUCCAGGUGGUGGUGGUGGUUUAGUCUCUGAGUCGUGUCUGACUCUCGUGACCCCAUGGACUGUAGCCAGCCAGUCUUCUCUGUCUGUGAGAUUUUCCCGGCAAGAAAACUGGAGUGGGUUGCCGUCUCCUUCUCCAGAGGAUCUUUCUGACCCAGGGAUCGAACCUGCGUCUCCUGCACUGUAGAGGCUUUCCUGCGUUUCAGGCAGAUGUUUUACUGCUGAGCCACCAGGGACGCCCCUAAGGUCUCCUACAUCUAAUAACCUAAGAUAAAAACUAUGGAGUUUCUUUCUCCCAGAGAGCUUUUCCUGUAUUCCACUCCCCGAAUCAGGUUGCUGAUGACAUUGGAAUUCCUUCUCUUAGCGUCUAGGAGGUUUUCUGGUCGGGAUGUAGACUUUUGCUAUGAGUGGUUGUUUCGGUCUUCAGCUUCCGGCACCUGGUGCUAGCGCGCUUCUGCCACGCCUAGACGCACUUGGCUCCAGAACUUUUCUGGAUCCUGUGGUUGAGUCGAUGGCGUUCCUACCGUGCAGUGGGCACCGUCACAAUCACUUUCCACCCAACACACACACACUUGGUCCUCACAACGUGGAAUCGUGAAGCAGAAUUACUGCUCCCAUUUUAAAGGGGAAG